UGAAAAGUUAAAAAUAUUCCGUAGACAGUAGGUGCUGAUAAGCGUAACGUAUACAACCUACCGAGGGUGAUUAGAAUGUUUAAGAUCUUCCUCUGUCUACGGGAAGAUCUUUUUUAAUACGAUA
Regulatory RNA element from Clostridium colicanis 209318, 124 nucleotides. It matches the Rfam family "Ribosomal protein L10 leader". Rfam says of the family: This family is a putative r-protein leader autoregulatory structure found in B. subtilis and other low-GC Gram-positive bacteria. It is located in the 5' untranslated regions of mRNAs encoding ribosomal proteins L10 and L12 (rplJ-rplL). A Rho-independent transcription terminator structure that is probably involved in regulation is included at the 3' end. Lineage: Bacteria; Bacillati; Bacillota; Clostridia; Eubacteriales; Clostridiaceae. The record is from Rfam.